CCCCCCCGCCCCCCCGCACGUGUGGCAGUGUAUCCUCUCACCACGCACACAAUGGCGUACGUCCACCCCCUGCACGCACAACUGUGUAGGCAUACCCUCUCCCCCUUCCCCGCAUGUGCGACAGUGUACCCCCCUACACUCCCGCAUGCGCAACGGCGUACGUACGCUCUCUUGUGCGAUGGCGUAUUCACGUCAUCUCUCCUCCUGGACUUACAUCACAGAGAGGAUGAAGAUUUCCUUCACUGGCUGGGACAACAGCGCCCCUGCAGAGAUGACCUCAAGUCCCCAAACUGAUCUGGACCUCAUGGGCCAAAGGAACCUAAGAAAUGGGGUGAAGAUGUGAUCAUAUAUUUUUUUCUCCAGUCCAAAGAGAACCAGGUUUCUCAGAUUGGUUGCAAGAAUGACUUAUUAAAACCUGCACAUAGAGAAGAAGAGCUUUGUCACAGUGAGUGUGUUUGUCAACCUUAUAAUGAGUCAUACAUUUUCUUUUUGCUUUAAGAUUGGAAAUAUCCCAGUAAAAGAAACAGUUUGGAAAGCUGUAGAAAAUAACUGGACUGUCUCAAGUCCUCAGAAGUAACAUUGUGAUCAAAACUUUCCCAUUGUCAUAAAGGUGUGUGUUUUGGGGCAGGGGUAAGGGAGAAGGAGAGAGAGAGAGAAUGGAGAGAUAAAGAGAAACAGAAACAGAAAGCAUGCACACUUCAGCAGGUCUCCUACAGAUAAGCCUGACUUCCUGAGUGGCUGUGGGGGCACUAGUCAUGGAUACCAAACACUAUGUGAUAUCCAUUGCAUUUCAGUCAAGAAGUUACAAAACAGCUCUGAAUAUUCUCUGAAUAUUUCUUUCCAUGUGCCUGUUCAGGAUGUGUCUUUAUGACACAAACAAUUUUUAGCCAUGUUUAUCCAGCGUUUUUCUUUUUCUCACAGAGACUACCAUUCUUUUACUCUACAGUUUACACAGUGUUCCUAUCCCCAAUUGCAUACAAUCCUUACCUCACAGUUACUGGUAGGUCUAUUUGGGCUGGCCAUAAAGCCACCAGUAAGCAUGGGAGCUUUUUGGCUCCAGAUGUAAGGUAACAGUUGUGCUCAUCUGGGAGCUCAAGGCUGGAGGAGGACAAAGCAGGGUAGCUAAUUCUCUGGGGUUUUGCUAACCACAGCAUCCUUGGCCGAUUGGAUUGCUAUUGGGAAUCUUCUGAUUCAUACAUAGAACAUCACUGUCCAAAGCAUCACAAAAAUCAAAUGUGGUAUAAAGUUUUUGCUUUAGAGCUACAGCAUGGCUGUUUAUAGUAGGGUUGAGGAAUAGAUACAUUUAUUGUCUCAAAGAGCCAUUCUUGUGGGACCCAGAAAAUGGUUGUGGUAAACCGUUCCAAAUACUCUAUGCAGUCAAGGCUUAGUUACCUCAGUUAUAACCAGUAUGAUGGCUCUCCUCAGAGGACUAUAAAAAUUAAAUAAUCAUCAAGAAUUUGCAAACAUAAGCUCAUGGAAAUGUCUAGCAAAUAUGUCAAACAUAAAUGUUCUUUUUCUGGUAGAAGAAUGAGAAAGAAGCAUAUUUUAUUGGAUUCUUAUGAGUCCUGAGAGCCUGACCAGACUGUGAUUGACUGGCUUCCAUUCACUGAAUCACAAAAUCUCACAACUGGCAUUGGGUACCUUGAGAGCAUCUGGUUCAAAUAACUUACAUUGCAGAUGAGAAAACAGAGGUUCUGAUGUAUUAAAUUACUUGCCUAGGGUCAUACAGCUUGUUUAUGGCAGUGUCAACACUAGAAGCCCAAAUUUUAUGAUGCCAUAACUAGUUUCUUUCCCGGAAGUCCAGAUGGACCUAUAACCUGGAAUUAGUACCUAGGAGAAAGAUGGUAAAGAUGUCACCCUGAGUCCUGACAGAUUGGUAGGAAACCCUGACUGAGUGACAGGGAAUCCUGGAGUUUGCAUUAAGCAGGAUUUUGGAGCUAUAUUCAGGCUGAUCAUUAAAAAGCUCCCAAGGUUAAAUACCAUUUCUGUCAUGGAGGAAAAAAAGGAAGAAAGGCCAGAUGCCACACAUUUCUGAUGUAGGAGCACCCCAUUUUCUUAUGGUCAUUUUCAGCUGUGUUUAAACUAGAGAUGAUAAUUGUAGGAAUUGAUUUUAUAAGAUUUCAAUGAGAGAAGACUUUAAAGAAUAAGUCUGGACUUAAAAUUGGUGAUAAAAUAUUGUCAAGUCAACAAGUGCCUACUGUUUGCUCCAGCCUGUGCUGGGAAAGAUGAGAGCUACAAAGAAAGUAGGAAAAAACCCAUAUAUUCUGGUAACCUAUACCACAGCAGAGGGAAAAUCAUUUAGUCCUUCUAAUGGUAUCAUGGUAAUUUUAUAUCAACACAGUAUUUUACAUUUUCAAAGUGCUUUCAAUGCAUUGUCUUAUUUCAUAUAGAGAGGGCAAAGGAAUGUGUGAUUGUGUGCUUAAAUUUCAUGGCACUCUAAAUUUUGUGGCAUUUUGUAGAUGUUUUAGGGAAGGAAAUCUUUGAAGGGGAGAGAAGAAGGAAGGGAAGUUUGAUUAAUAAAAAAAACAGCUAAAAAUAAAAGCAAUAUGUAGUACUUUAAAUGAUCAGUUGAUGAGUAUUUUAUUCAGGUAUUCAAAUGAGAGCUUCUUUGUCAAUAAAAAGUGACUAAAUGGAAUCAAUAAAUUUAUUGUAGGGGUUUCUGGGCAGUUCAGUCAGUUGAGCACCUGACUCUUGAUUUCGGCUCAGGUCAUGAUCCUCAAGGUUCAUGGGAUUAAGCCUCGAGUCUG
Long non-coding RNA from Felis catus (domestic cat), 2747 nucleotides. RefSeq lists it as uncharacterized. The transcript is spliced from 4 exons. Lineage: Eukaryota; Metazoa; Chordata; Mammalia; Carnivora; Felidae. The record is from RefSeq and is a predicted model, not a curated record.